UGCAGUCGAGCGGAACGAGUUAACUGACCCUUCGGGUGACGUUAACGGCGUCGAGCGGCGGACGGGUGAGUAAUGCCUGGGAAAUUGCCCUGAUGUGGGGGAUAACCAUUGGAAACGAUGGCUAAUACCGCAUAAUGCCUUCGGGCCAAAGAGGGGGACCUUCGGGCCUCUCGCGUCAGGAUAUGCCCAGGUGGGAUUAGCUAGUUGGUGAGGUAAUGGCUCACCAAGGCGACGAUCCCUAGCUGGUCUGAGAGGAUGAUCAGCCACACUGGAACUGAGACACGGUCCAGACUCCUACGGGAGGCAGCAGUGGGGAAUAUUGCACAAUGGGCGCAAGCCUGAUGCAGCCAUGCCGCGUGUGUGAAGAAGGCCUUCGGGUUGUAAAGCACUUUCAGCAGUGAGGAAGGCGGGUACGUUAAUAGCGUGCUCGUUUGACGUUAGCUGCAGAAGAAGCACCGGCUAACUCCGUGCCAGCAGCCGCGGUAAUACGGAGGGUGCGAGCGUUAAUCGGAAUUACUGGGCGUAAAGCGCAUGCAGGUGGUUCGUUAAGUCAGAUGUGAAAGCCCGGGGCUCAACCUCGGAACUGCAUUUGAAACUGGCGGACUAGAGUACUGUAGAGGGGGGUAGAAUUUCACGUGUAGCGGUGAAAUGCGUAGAGAUCUGAAGGAAUACCGGGUGGCGAAAGGCGGCCCC
RNAcentral lists this ribosomal RNA (693 nucleotides) under Vibrio mediterranei. Its description in RNAcentral is "bacterial SSU rRNA". It matches the Rfam family "Bacterial small subunit ribosomal RNA", at positions 56 to 728 of the family's 1533-position model. Lineage: Bacteria; Pseudomonadati; Pseudomonadota; Gammaproteobacteria; Vibrionales; Vibrionaceae. The record is from RNAcentral.